UACGUAGGGGGCAAGCGUUGUCCGGACUUACUGGGCGUAAAGCGUGUGCAGGCGGGCCGCUAUGUGCCGUGUGAAAGCUCCCAGCUUAUCUGGGAGAGGUCGCGGUAGACAGGCAGCCUGGAGGCUCGGAGAGGUCAGUGGAAUUCUCGGUGUAGUGGUGAAAUGCGUAGAUAUCGAGAGGAACACCAGUGGCGAAGGCGACUCUCUGGUCUGUAACUGACGCUGAGGCGCGAAAGCGUGGGGAGCAAACAGG
This 253-nucleotide ribosomal RNA is filed under the name uncultured bacterium. Its description in RNAcentral is "partial 16S ribosomal RNA". It matches the Rfam family "Bacterial small subunit ribosomal RNA", at positions 524 to 776 of the family's 1533-position model. The record is from RNAcentral.